UUUCCGUAGGUGAACCUGCGGAAGGAUCAUUAUUGUGUAACCGAGGUGCGAGGGCUGUCGCUGACCCGAAAGGUCGUGCACGCCCGAGUGCCCUCACACACAUCCAUCUCACCCCUAUGUGCACCACCGCGUGGGUCCCCCUUUGGCUUGUUCGGAGGGGGGCUUACGUUUUCACACAAACUUUGUAUGCAGUGUAGAAUGUAUUUUUUGUUUUUGCGAUCACGCAAUCAAUACAACUUUCAACAACGGAUCUCUUGGUUCUC
This 263-nucleotide unclassified non-coding RNA is filed under the name plant metagenome. RNAcentral describes it as "partial contains small subunit ribosomal RNA, internal transcribed spacer 1, and 5.8S ribosomal RNA". The record is from RNAcentral.